AACGAACGCUGGCGGCAGGCUUAACACAUGCAAGUCGAGCGCCCCGCAAGGGGAGCGGCAGACGGGUGAGUAACGCGUGGGAACGUACCUUUUGGUUCGGAACAACUCCGGGAAACUGGAGCUAAUACCGGAUAAGCCCUAACGGGGAAAGAUUUAUCGCCGAAAGAUCGGCCCGCGUCUGAUUAGCUAGUUGGUGAGGUAACGGCUCACCAAGGCGACGAUCAGUAGCUGGUCUGAGAGGAUGAUCAGCCACACUGGGACUGAGACACGGCCCAGACUCCUACGGGAAGCAGCAGUGGGGAAUAUUGGACAAUGGGCGCAAGCCUGAUCCAGCCAUGCCGCGUGAGUGAUGAAGGCCUUAGGGUUGUAAAGCUCUUUUGUCCGGGAAGAUAAUGACUGUACCGGAAGAAUAAGCCCCGGCUAACUUCGUG
RNAcentral lists this ribosomal RNA (431 nucleotides) under uncultured bacterium. RNAcentral describes it as "partial 16S ribosomal RNA". It matches the Rfam family "Bacterial small subunit ribosomal RNA", at positions 29 to 507 of the family's 1533-position model. The record is from RNAcentral.